ACAGAAGAGGGAUAGAUUACUUUAGGCUGAGUGAGGUGGCUUUUGAGUUCCUACUAGAAGCGUGGGUAGAAUUGUGACUAGAAGAGAGAGGAAGGUCUGGAUGGAGCAACAAGAGUCUGGGCUAUUAACACAGGUUUGAGUCAGGCUGACCGGAGCUGUAAAGCCCUUCUCGUUCUCACUGUUUGUUCUUUUCAGUUCUGUCUUCCUGAGGCUGCUGUUUCUGGGCAUGGCCAGGGGAUCUUCAGACUUUACAAACCAGUUGUGCAGAGCCAGGCAUUUCAAUAAGGAACAAAAUGCUGAGUAACAACAUGAAGUCAGAGUGUUGCUUGCCAAGAGCUGGGAGGCCUGGGUGGUUUCCCAAUCUUAAAGAAGCAGAAGGAUAUUAAAGUGAGCCUCCCAAAGGAAAACGUGGAUCUACUUACCAACGCAGAAAAUGAUACACACGGAUUCGAUUUAGGCACGCUACAUUCAAAUGACUUGGAAGAGCAGUUUCUCUGAGCCAGGAUACUAAAGUCCGUGUUUAGGAAAGAGCCACGUUGUAUGUUUACCCUACCACAAAGAUACAGAAUUCUGGAGGAAAGUGGCUCUGGGAAUUGAACAGUGGCUCAGUGAUGUUGGGGCCACCAAGUCUGCAAUUCUCCCGACCUGUUCUUCACGGUUGUAAGAUGACUGCUGCAAUUCUCGGCAUCAUGUGCAUGUUAAUGUCAGGAGGAAGAGAGGAAGAGGGAGCACUGGGAUGUUACACUCAUUUUGUCAGGAAAAGCAAAGCCUUUCCAGACAGCCCCGAAACUUGCUUACCUCUCAUUGGCCAGCACCAUCACUUGACCACUUGUCCACUCCUAGCUGCAAGGAAAGUGGCAAAGUAGAAGGUAUUUGAGAAUGUCUGCUGGGUUAGCCAAAACAAUAGUGACUUCUACACCCAAUUUUCUGGGCACUGCAUAAGUAUCCUUGAUUCCUAUGUGAUCAGAGGGAGAGCAAACCUCAAUAAUGAAACAGAUUCAAUUUCCAUCACCCAGUGAGAUACCAUGGGAUUAGAAUAAAUUUUUAAAAAAACAAAUUGAAAAAAAUGCACUUUCAAAACAACAAAAUCAGAAAGGAUGAAAGGUGAUAUUUCUAGCAUAUCAGUUUGUGGUGGUAAAUUAAUUACCUUAUACAAAGGCCUCAGUGACUUUCUUCUCCUUACCUAACGAAUCAUCUUUAAAAUAAGUAAAAUAAAGAAACAAGAGCAGCAGCAGAUGCUUCCUAACAAGAAGUUACCAAAUCUGUUCACCACAAACCUGAGAAUUCAACUGUGGACAUUUGGACACCAGCAAUGAACAUGAAACUCAGCUUAUGAGGCAUAUUUGGCUAAAGGUCAAGGUGACUUAAAGUUCAUCAUAGGACAUCUACAAUUUGCAAAGCAGGUGACUGGAUAUGGACUCCUUCCAAGUCUCAUUUAAUUGGAUAAUGCCUACGUUUUAAGUAUCAGAAGUGAGUCUUUCUCUAUUAAAUGAAGUCAGUUCCACUAAAAUCUAAAUCUUGUUUGGCAGGCACUCCAUGUUUCUUAAUUUUUAUUCCAUGCUGUAUAUUCUUUUAGACUUGAUUUUCACUUUUUUUUCUUUUUUCCUGUAAGUUUAUCUUUGCUGUGAAACAAAGUGCCCUGCUUUGAAGGACAGGUUUGUGGGCUGCUGGUGGUGAGACAACAGCAGUCCUUCCAGGUCUUCCUCCCAUCACUGUGUUAGCUCUCCCUUUGUUUUUAAUUAGCAUUACACCAGUUAAUUCUGUUGUCUCUUAACCCUGGUUCUGCAUCCUCUUCUUUUCUAUUCCUUACUCUGCUCCUGUUUUUUCUUGUUCUGCUUUUCCAAGAAAUGUCUUCUCUCCUCAUCAGUUGACUGUCUUCUCUUUCCAGAGGGACCAUAAAGGUGCCAGCCUAAGGAACACGUAAAACGUGGGAACAGACAAACAAGCUGCUGCCUAUUACAGAGAUAGAUAAUUAACUUUGGACCAUUACAUGCAAUUCAUCAGCUUAUCUUUUUCAAACUUUAUGUAAGAAGUCAUUUCCCAAUGGUAACCACUUGCCAGCUGCAACUUUGACGCAUAUUAUCAGGAUAGGUGAGAUUGAUGGGGGCCCUUUGAACUCUUCCCAGGGAAUAAUCUUUAUAAUGUUACAGUUUUCUCUAUAGCAUGGUCAUAUUGUUAACAUUGGUUAUAAGGUCAUAUGGUUAGUAUGGUUAGUAUUGGUGGCUCACAGCUGUAAUACCAGCACUUUGAGAGGCCAAGGUGGGAGGAUCACUUGAGCCCUGGUGUUCAAAACCAGCCCUGGAAACAUAGCAAGACCUUGUGUCUACAAAAAAAAAUUAAAUAAAUUAAAAGAUUAGCUGGGCAUGGUGGCACAUGCCUGUAGUCCUCACUACUUGGGAAACUAAGGUGGGAGGAUCCCUUGAGCUUGGGAGGUUGAGGCUGCAGUGAGCUGCGGUUGUGCCAUGGCACUCCAGCCUGGGUGACAGAGUGAGACCCUGUCUCAAAAAAAAAAAAAAAAAAAAAAAAGUACCUGUAAGGUCUUUGGGAUUUCGAAGAUGAAAGGUGUCACAUAAAUUGAAUGAAUUUGCUUAGAGAGAUAGAAGGCAACUACAGGGAAUAUUACGUACAUCAUGGAGCGGAAAGUACUAAGGCCUGUGGAAUUAUUCUCAGUGACACGUAGUUGAGGGCAGUGGUCCACAGGUUUUAAACAUGGUUUCUCCCAGGUGAAAAGGAUGAGUAAUUUGUUCUCCUUCACGUGUGUGUAUGUAGGUCUUAUACACAGCAGAUUUGCCACAAAACAAAUGAAGAUUACACUUUGGGCCCCUCUCUCACAUGAGUCCCUUCCAAAGUUCUGUUUGCUAAUUUUACAUUUUGUAAUUUCUUAUUAUUUUUGUUAAAGAAGCCUCCUCCAACUGCAUAAACUUCAAGCCUCACAAAAUUUGGAUCCAUACCUGAGCCAACAUACAAUACAAUUUUCCAUUUCUAACUUUUAGUUGUACCUAGUGUUUUAUUGGAAAUGAUCAAGUACAUGAGUGGUGUCUUUUUAAAAAAUUUACUUUAUUUGCUUCUCUAGCUUCAUCGUUAGUUAUGCAGUUAAAUCUAACCAUUUGGAGGUAUUUUCAUAUAACCUCCAUUGAGGACAAUUUGGCAAUAGCUUUUAAAAUUAUAAAUAUAUUUGUACAGUUAUAAGCUGCCAUAUCCAUAAAACUAUUUGAUAGACAAAAGUUGAAAACCCUCCAAGAGCUCAUCAAUAAAAGAUUAAAUUAAUUAUGAUACAUCCAUAUGAGCACUGAGCAGCUGUGAAAAAAAUGAGGAAGUAAUUUCUGUGCUGAUAUGGGAAGACUUCCAAGACAUGUUGUUAAGUACAGAAUGGUGUAUACAGUAUGCUAUAUAGUGUGGUAAAAGGUUUAGGGAUAAGCAUUUAUAUUUUUAGCUGUUUGUAUUUACAUAAAGUAAUUCUGAAAGGAUACAAAAAAGCUAACAAAAGAGAUUACCUGUGGUAGUGUGGGGUUUGGGGAUGGAUGGGUGAGAAACAGUAGUGGAAAUGAGAUAUUGUACAGUUUAAGGCAUUAUACAUCUAUAAAAACAUGGGAAUGUAUUACCUACUCAAAAAGUGAAAUUAAGAAAGAUACAAGAAGCUGUUUGGAUGUUCCUUCCCAUUUCAAUGUAUCUGUAUUUUUUCAGCCCUCAAAGUUAUUAUAAAUGUCAUUAUAAUAACUUCAUAAAGCUUCCCCUAUAAUGAGAAUCUUACCAUUCUCCUAACUCCAAUAGCACUAUAAUCCACCUCUGUUAGGACACAUCACUCUUCAUCAUGUGUGAUUAUUAUUUGCAGAUAUCAUCUUCAAGGCUCUUCUCUAUUUACCACCUGCCAUUCUUGUUCUCACCUCUACUUGACCUUCACAUUUUAUUUCUCUCGGUUUUUUGGACAAGCUACAUUCCCUUCCACAGAGAAGGCUUCCCUGACCCCUUUCACUUGGUUGGAUUACCUUGCUAUUCUUUUCUAUCUUUGUACAUUCCUUUUCAAAAUACUUAUCUCCCUUGUUGUUACCUAUAAUGUCUGUCUUCUUUACUCAAGAGUCUAGACAAAAAGCUCCACGCCAGCCUCGGCUGUGUUUGUAUUGUUUACGUCUGUGUUCCUAGUGCUUAAUAAAAUACCUAGCAAGGGUUAAUAAGUACUUGUUGACUGGAAGGGAAUGACUUCCUUCCCUUACUAGAGAGUGAUUUCCUUACAGGCAAGAUGUGUCAACCUUCUACAGCCCACAUAAAAUAAAGGACAAUAUCUCCUAUUGGAUAAAAGACAA
Molecule: long non-coding RNA, 4301 nt
Organism: Pan troglodytes (chimpanzee)
Lineage: Eukaryota; Metazoa; Chordata; Mammalia; Primates; Hominidae
Exons: 3
Source: RefSeq, a predicted model, not a curated record